UUUAAUACAAGAACUUUGACAAAUAGUCAAAUAGUUAUAUUUAUGUUUUUUUUUUUCUUUUUUAUAUAAAAUGGUAAUGUUACAUUAUGAAGAUAAGCCAUUUCUUUUAGUGAAAAUGGUAAUCUUACAUAUGUUUAAUGUAGUUUUUCUAUUUUUUUUAUGUUGUAUGUUUACAUAUUAUUGUUAUUUUUAAAUGUAAAAUGGUAAUACUACAUAUGCUUAAUAUAUUAUUUUCAUUUUUAUGUUGUAUGUUUACAUAUUAUUUAUUAUUUUCUAAAUUAUAUAUGGAGAUAAACCGUCUUUUUUUUAGUGAAAAAUGGUAAUU
This 325-nucleotide long non-coding RNA is filed under the name Brassica rapa (field mustard). RNAcentral describes it as "long non-coding RNA (BRAP_LNC005865)". The record is from RNAcentral. Lineage: Eukaryota; Viridiplantae; Streptophyta; Magnoliopsida; Brassicales; Brassicaceae.